This is a regulatory RNA element of Thermobispora bispora DSM 43833, 72 nucleotides long. It matches the Rfam family "6C RNA". Lineage: Bacteria; Bacillati; Actinomycetota; Actinomycetes; Streptosporangiales; Streptosporangiaceae. The record is from Rfam.
GGAGCCGGCUCUACCCCCCGGGGCCGGACCGCUCGGCGACCCCCGCUCUCCCCCCGGCGGGGGUCGCUCUUU